RNAcentral lists this ribosomal RNA (496 nucleotides) under uncultured bacterium. RNAcentral describes it as "partial 16S ribosomal RNA". It matches the Rfam family "Bacterial small subunit ribosomal RNA", at positions 29 to 507 of the family's 1533-position model. The record is from RNAcentral.
AUGCACGCUGGCGGCGUGCCUAAUACAUGCAAGUCGCGCGCACAGACGAGGAGCUUGCUCCUCUGACGUUAGCGGCGGACGGGUGAGUAACACGUGGAUAACCUACCUAUAAGACUGGGAUAACUUCGGGAAACCGGAGCUAAUACCGGAUAAUAUAUUGAACCGCAUGGUUCAAUAGUGAAAGACGGUUUUGCUGUCACUUAUAGAUGGAUCCGCGCCGCAUUAGCUAGUUGGUAAGGUAACGGCUUACCAAGGCAACGAUGCGUAGCCGACCUGAGAGGGUGAUCGGCCACACUGGAACUGAGACACGGUCCAGACUCCUACGGGAGGCAGCAGUAGGGAAUCUUCCGCAAUGGGCGAAAGCCUGACGGAGCAACGCCGCGUGAGUGAUGAAGGUCUUCGGAUCGUAAAACUCUGUUAUUAGGGAAGAACAAAUGUGUAAGUAACUAUGCACGUCUUGACGGUACCUAAUCAGAAAGCCACGGCUAACUACGUG